GUAGGGUGGGCAAGCGUUGUCCGGAAUUAUUGGGCGUAAAGCGCGCGCAGGCGGUCCUUUAAGUCUGAUGUGAAAGCCCACGGCUCAACCGUGGAGGGUCAUUGGAAACUGGGGGACUUGAGUACAGAAGAGGAAAGCGGAAUUCCAAGUGUAGCGGUGAAAUGCGUAGAGAUUUGGAGGAACACCAGUGGCGAAGGCGGCUUUCUGGUCUGUAACUGACGCUGAGGCGCGAAAGCGUGGGGAGCAAACAGGAUUAGAUACCCUGGUAGUCCACGCCGUAAACGAUGAGUGCUAAGUGUUAGGGGGUUUCCGCCCCUUAGUGCUGCAGCUAACGCAUUAAGCACUCCGCCUGGGGAGUACGGCCGCAAGGCUG
Molecule: ribosomal RNA, 373 nt
Filed under: uncultured organism
Description: partial 16S ribosomal RNA
Rfam family: Bacterial small subunit ribosomal RNA
Source: RNAcentral